CAGUAGCCGCGGUAAUACGUAGGUGGCAAGCGUCGUCCGGAAUUAUUGGGCGUAAAGGGCUCGCAGGCGGUUUCUUAAGUCUGAUGUGAAAGCCCCCGGCUCAACCGGGGAGGGUCAUUUGAAAUUGGGAAACUUGAGUGCAGAAGAGGAGAGUGGAAUUCCACGUGUAGCGGUGAAAUGCGUAGAGAUGUGGAGGAACACCAGUGGCGAAGGCGACUCUCUGGUCUGUAACUGACGCUGAGGAGCGAAAGCGUGGGGAGCGAACAGGAUUAGAUACCCCAGUAGUCCCUGUCUCUUAUAC
Molecule: ribosomal RNA, 301 nt
Filed under: uncultured bacterium
Lineage: Bacteria
Description: partial 16S ribosomal RNA
Rfam family: Bacterial small subunit ribosomal RNA
Source: RNAcentral